AAAAUCCGUCGAAUAAAAAU
Molecule: transfer RNA, 20 nt
Filed under: Sarcoglottis sp. LSJ-2013
Lineage: Eukaryota; Viridiplantae; Streptophyta; Magnoliopsida; Asparagales; Orchidaceae
Description: partial tRNA-Leu
Source: RNAcentral